UACGAAGGGGGCUAGCGUUGCUCGGAAUCACUGGACGUAAAGGGCGCGUAGGCGGACUCUUAAGUCAGGGGUGAAAUCCCGGGGCUCAACCUCGGAACUGCCUUUGAUACUGGAGAUCUUGAGUCCGGAAGAGGUAAGUGGAACUGCGAGUGUAGAGGUGAAAUUCGUAGAUAUUCGCAAGAACACCAGUGGCGAAGGCGGCUUACUGGUCCGGAACUGACGCUGAGGUGCGAAAGCGUGGGGAGCAAACAGG
This 253-nucleotide ribosomal RNA is filed under the name uncultured bacterium. Its description in RNAcentral is "partial 16S ribosomal RNA". It matches the Rfam family "Bacterial small subunit ribosomal RNA", at positions 524 to 776 of the family's 1533-position model. The record is from RNAcentral.